Molecule: ribosomal RNA, 596 nt
Filed under: Effuseotrichosporon vanderwaltii
Lineage: Eukaryota; Fungi; Basidiomycota; Tremellomycetes; Trichosporonales; Trichosporonaceae
Description: partial large subunit ribosomal RNA
Rfam family: Eukaryotic large subunit ribosomal RNA
Source: RNAcentral
AAACUAACAAGGAUUCCCCUAGUAGCGGCGAGUGAAGCGGGAAGAGCUCAAAUUUGAAAUCUGGCGUCCUUCGGGCGUCCGAGUUGUAAUCUAUAGAAGCGUUUUCCGCGCUGGACCGUGUCUAAGUCCCUUGGAACAGGGUAUCAAAGAGGGUGAUAAUCCCGUACUUGACACGACCACCAGUGCUCUGUGAUACGUUCUCUACGAGUCGAGUUGUUUGGGAAUGCAGCUCAAAAUGGGUGGUAAAUUCCAUCUAAAGCUAAAUAUUGGCGAGAGACCGAUAGCGAACAAGUACCGUGAGGGAAAGAUGAAAAGCACUUUGGAAAGAGAGUUAAACAGUACGUGAAAUUGUUGAAAGGGAAACGAUUGAAGUCAGUCGUGUUCAUUGGACUCAGCCAGUUCUUCUGGUCUAUUUCCUUUGAACGGGUCAACAUCAGUUUUGUCCGGUGGAUAAAGGUAUUAGGAAUGUGGCUCUUUCGGGAGUGUUAUAGCCUAGUAUUGCAUACACUGGGGGAGACUGAGGACUGCAGCUCGCCUUUUGGCCGGGGUUCGCCCACGUUCGAGCUUAGGAUGUUGACAUAAUGGCUUUAAACGAC